This 1576-nucleotide non-coding RNA is filed under the name Mus musculus (house mouse). The record is from RNAcentral. Lineage: Eukaryota; Metazoa; Chordata; Mammalia; Rodentia; Muridae.
CAGAGCCAAGGAAGCUGCACAGGGACAAGGGCUGAUGAUAUUGAAAGUUCAUAUGGAUCAGUGUGUUUCCCACCAGAACCAGAUGUGAAUACCCUUUCACUGAAAACUCCAUGUUCUUUGGCUUCAGGAAAGAGCAAAAUCAAGCAUAGUGCUGCAACUGAUCUGGACGCUUCCUUCCUGAUGGCUGGCUUUCCUGAUGCUGGAAUGUGCCUUGCAGGUUCUGGGAGAGAAAAAUCAUUACAGGCUUAAGUUCCUGUGCUACAUGACUGACCUGCUGAGCAAUAUGCUACUGGAGUGAUAGUUUUAUGACCGUUAAGGGAAUAGUCAGCUGCUUUUGACUGAAUUUGAGGUCAGCUACACUUGGAAUUCACAUUCGGUUCUAGAAAGCUGUUCAGUAACCCUUGGCUGGGCAGCCACUAGGCCCUGCUGUGGAAGGUUCUACUGUUUUGCUAAAUGAGCACGUUGCACCCAGCAAAUUGCCUUCUAAAUAGUUAUGUCUAUGUCUACGUCUACAUAUUAGUGCUGCUCUCAGCUUCGGUCACACAAACUUCUUUUUCAGUUAGUGGCAGCUAUUGCAGCAGAGACUCAGGGUCAACAUGCUAAGAGUUGGUGACUGUUGAAGACUCAGCACUAAAUAUACAUCAAUAUCAUUCCAAGGCUCAGGGACCAUUGUGGAAGAUGGAGUGGAAAAAAAAAUCUAAGAGACAGUAGAGGUAGUGGGAACUGAUGGGACUCUGUCUUCAGGCAACAUCAUGUUCUACACACAUGAACUCAGAGCAGCACCUGAACAAGUCUGGGUACCUCAGCAUUGCAUUAUAGUGUUUAUACCUGUGGCAUGAUCAAAGAGGCCUAGUAAUGAAGAAAUUCUUGGCUGGCCAAGGUGCUGAGAGCAAGUGACUGAUCAGUGCUCAUAGAAUGUUGUAGAAGAAGGGGAUUGUGAGCACCAGACAAUGGUGGGGUGAGGAGGGCUGCGAUAAGCUAUCUUCAGGGAAAUGGCAUGACUAUGGUUCGCAUGAAUUCAGAGCAGCUACAGAUACCUGAGCCUCUACAAGACGGAGCCUAUAAACCUUCAUUCUCUUAACUGUGUGUUUCCCACCAGAGCUGGAUGUGAAGCCCCUGUUGGCUGAGAAUUCCACUGCUGUGGUUUUAGGGCAUAGAGAAAUCAAGGGGAAGCCAAGCUGGAAGCUUUCUCCCUCCUGGCUGAUCUGAUAGUGCCAGAGUAUGCUGUGAAUGAAGAUCCUGAGGGCAAAAAGUCACCGCCAAGCGUACUCAGUUCCAGGCCCUCUGCCACGAUAACUACCUGCUAGGCAUUAUACUUACCGUUGGAGUGAAGGGGUGAUUUCACUGUGAAAGGCUUCCUCCACAGACUGAGCAUCAUCAAUGACUGGGCAAAAUUCCACUGGGCUCUUCUAGACUUUUUCCAAGGACUAUUUCUGGAAACAAACUUCAACAUUCCCAGGUUUCAAGCUUUGAGUAUUUCUGCAUUGACAGUUGCAACCGAUUAAUUCCAUUGGAUGGUUUCUUGUUCUGAAGUUAAAAUUUCAAAGUAUCUGAUCCUGGCUUAAUGUCACUCAAG